This is a ribosomal RNA of Trichechus manatus latirostris (Florida manatee), 119 nucleotides long. The record is from RefSeq and is a predicted model, not a curated record. Lineage: Eukaryota; Metazoa; Chordata; Mammalia; Sirenia; Trichechidae.
GCCUAUGGCCAUACCACCCUGAACGCACCUGAUCUCUUUUGAUCUCAGAAGCUAAGCAGGGUUGGGCCUGGUUACUACUUGGAUGGGAGACUUCCUGGGAAUACCAGGUACUGUAGGCU